GAAGAAGAAGAAGAAGACCCUGAAGAAGAAGAAGAAGACCCUGAAGUGAAAACUUUGAGUUUGCAGGUGAAGGAGCAGCGGCCAAUGAUUCUGACAUUACUAACAUCAAUCUGAGAAGGGAAGAAAAUAGCAGCAAUUCUGAAACAAAAGAGAAGGCUAAAGAGGAGGAUUUUUGGUCCAUGUAUCCAAGGCUCAAUGAAUCUUUGAAGCUGGAGCAAUUUUCUGAGUAUACACUGCCGGAUUCUGGAAUUAAUUUUAUCGAGGAAAGAUUGAGCUCUAUUGGGAAUUUGAAGGCAAAGGAAUUAGAGGAGAAGUGGAAAAAAUUGCAGGUGGCUGAAACUGAGUUGAAACUCAUGAAACCAAAGUUGAUUCAGCAGCAGACAGAACUCAUAUUGAAUUUGAUCAGUUAGUUUUAUUUUAGUGAACCCUGAUAAUUAGUAAGGUUCUGUACAUACUCAAAAAGAAAAAUUUAAUCAGUAUUUAUCGUUCUAGAUGUAAAUGGAAUGGCUUUUCUUUCAUGUUUUCUUGCUGGUAUUUAGUUGAUUGUCUUACAAUCCAUUCAAGUUCAUGGUAAA
Molecule: unclassified non-coding RNA, 575 nt
Filed under: Hevea brasiliensis (rubber tree)
Lineage: Eukaryota; Viridiplantae; Streptophyta; Magnoliopsida; Malpighiales; Euphorbiaceae
Source: RNAcentral